Molecule: ribosomal RNA, 300 nt
Filed under: uncultured Bacillus sp.
Lineage: Bacteria; Bacillati; Bacillota; Bacilli; Caryophanales; Bacillaceae
Description: bacterial SSU rRNA
Rfam family: Bacterial small subunit ribosomal RNA
Source: RNAcentral
GCGAUGUAGGGGGCGUCGUCUGCGUUAAGACUGAGGUGGCACGUGUUGUCCGGAUUUGCCAGGCGUAACGAGCGCUCAGGCGGGCGUCCAAGUCGCGUGUGAAAGCCCCCGUCUCAACUGGGGGGGGUUACGGGAUACUGGUCGACUCGAAGGCAGGAGAGGGUAGUGGAAUUCCCGGUGUAGUGGUGAAAUGCGUAGAUAUCGGGAGGAACACCAGUGGCGAAGGCGACUACCUGGCCUGUUCUUGACGCUGAGGCGCGAAAGCUAGGGGAGCAAACGGGAUUAGAUACCCGAGUAGUU